UAAGGAACCAUUGCAAGCGAAUUCAUAAAUGAGAAGCCAUUCUAUUUCAAUGCAGUAUCCCACCAACAUCACCAAAUUCCUGUGCUGUGCACAGCUCAAUAUUUCAACUUCUGAACAAAAUUCUGAUGCUCCUUGUGCACUUAUUGUCUUGUGCUGCUUCACUGCAACAACUUGUCCAUCAGGCAAUAUUCCUUUGUAUACUAAACCACAUCCACCAUCCGCCAAGAGAUUAUCACUUGAGAAUCCAUCAGUUGCACUUUCUAUCUCUCUGUAACUGAACUUUCUCGUUGCCUUGCCAAAAAUGGGUGCCUUGUGCUUGCAAAUGGAACAAAGAGGUGGGGGUUUUGGUGGAUGCUUAAUAGAAAGGGACAUAGCCUUCCUGAUACUUGAGGUUCGUUGAAAUGUUGGUGAAGAUGGGGAUGCAGGGUUUUCUUCUCCAGGACUAAUCAUGCAAUACUUUCUGCUAGUGAGCUGAUUUGGGCUUUCAGGCUUUCUCAACAAGCGUGGUGAGUCUGCUGAUCUUCUAGUUGGAACUGAUACUAUCUGUGUCGCUUUUAUACCGUUAACUGUUUGCAUAUCAAAUUUAGUCUUCAAAUGGCCACUAUAGUUCUUUAUUUUCCCAUCCAAGGGGUCACCAAUCUUAAAACUUGAUGCCAAGUCUGAUUUACUAUAAGAAGGAGAGGGGCUAAAUAUUGUUUGCACUUGAACUUCUUGAUGGAAAUAAUCGGAAUUUAAAUGAAAAAUGGGGGUGUGGGAUCUGGACUUGAUGGUAGAAGGACUACUAGCCUUGUUGAACUGCUCCUUUCCUGGGCUUGACAAUGAUUCUGUAUGAAAGGUUGUACUUUCGAUGCCAAGAUUACUUCGAGUCGUUGUACUAUUGUGAUUGCCAGUGCUACUAGGUAGCAUUCCAAGCUUAUCACUUUGAUCUGUACUCACACUAAGUCUG
Molecule: unclassified non-coding RNA, 946 nt
Filed under: Hevea brasiliensis (rubber tree)
Lineage: Eukaryota; Viridiplantae; Streptophyta; Magnoliopsida; Malpighiales; Euphorbiaceae
Source: RNAcentral